Molecule: long non-coding RNA, 845 nt
Organism: Magnolia sinica
Lineage: Eukaryota; Viridiplantae; Streptophyta; Magnoliopsida; Magnoliales; Magnoliaceae
Exons: 5
Source: RefSeq, a predicted model, not a curated record
CACCCUAUAUGGCCUCAUGGAAGCAACAAGCACACGACAUUGAUAAGCUGUAAAAGAAUUUAGAAACAAACCUGAAAACUAACCCUGAAGCUUGAAUCUAAGCAAUUGAUUAUAUAUAUAAUUGCAAAUGAAAAUCUCUGCUUUCCCUAACAGCUCACUACCUCUACCUUGAUAGAUUCCUCAAUCUGUGGUAUCUCAUCAGCCAACUGCAUCUGUGAAAAUAUCUGCUUUCCCAAACAACUCACUAAUUCUGCCUCUUUUUUUUUUUUCCUUUUCUAAUUGCAAUUGUAUUCUGUGAAGAAGAUUUGGAUAAGGCUACACUAUUGAAGUUGAGAUCCAUGAUGGCCCAUACAAUGUCAUCAAGAACUGGAACUAAUUGCAUUGAUUGAAGCCAUCCACAAUGGUGAAGGCAAAUGUUGGACAGCCAAGGUUAUGUGAAGGUGGGGAGCACUUAGAAUACUUUUCAGAUGCAUUGAGGUCGGAAAGCCUCGAGCGUGUGCAACCCAGCUCUCUUACAAUCCAACACAGGCCUGGAUAGAAGAUGCUUAUUCAAAGUGGAAGUAACUAUAUAUAGUGUAGGCUCAGGGGUCCACACUGCUUACAUGGAUGCAUGAUCAAAGCUGCUCAUCAGUUUUAUCCUAGAAGAAAAAGGGAAUAAAAAUCUGUCCACAUAUUUAUAUAUAAAAAAAUCCAUAGGUAUUCUCCUUCAUCUGCUAGUUACAGGUAUUUAUUAGUUCCUUUUAUUUUAUAUCAAAUUUGUUUUUUGGUUAUUUUAUUUUGUUUUGUAAACUUUUGUCUUUGCAUUGGUAACUGAAGGUGGAGCAUUUGGGGUGGAGCAUUGGUAA